UGCGAGUGCCCCAAGCGUUAUCCGGAAUUAUUGGGCGUAAAGGGUGUGUAGGUGGUUUCGUUAGUCUUCUGUUAAAGCUCCCGGCUUAACCGGGAAAGUGCAGAGGAAACGGCGAGACUAGAGGAUGUGAGAGGUUUGCGGAACUCAUGGUGUAGGGGUGAAAUCCGUUGAUAUCAUGGGGAACACCAAAAGCGAAGGCAGCAAACUGGCGCAUUCCUGACACUGAAACACGAAAGCGUGGGUAGCGAAUGGG
This 253-nucleotide ribosomal RNA is filed under the name uncultured prokaryote. Its description in RNAcentral is "partial 16S ribosomal RNA". It matches the Rfam family "Bacterial small subunit ribosomal RNA", at positions 524 to 776 of the family's 1533-position model. The record is from RNAcentral.